GGUAUGCAUCCUCAUCCUGGGCUAGUUAACGAUCCCUUUGAUCGUUUACCAUAUGUUGAAGUAUACAAAGAUGCCGUUGGGGAAGAUUCGUCACAUCACCAAAUACCUACAGGGAGUGUGCAAGCCGGUUAGGAAGACGCUAGACGAUGAGAAAAAGAGUUUUCUCUAUCCAGUUUCAUCCAUCUCCAUUUAUGCUGUUGGCUUUAACAUAGUCACGUCAUUCCAUUACAUCAGCAGGAUAGCUGCCCGUAGUUCUUGAGACAUAUGGAGUCGGGACGCAAUAUACUACGGAUGACUCGAAGGUUACCGUAAUAAAAACAGAAGAAAGGAACCAUUCCAUCUCAAGUUUUGACAAUAAGACUUACCAUACAUAAAAACAAAUAAAAAAAUACCUACUCUUUCCAACCAAAGUGUUGGCUAUAAAAUGAAACCAUUAAACUGUUCUUUUGUAUACAUAGCCCAGAUUUAAUGCAUUCAUACCAAGGAUAUUGUCGAUCCGUAAUAUCGGGCCGGACCACCACACCCUGUCGAUAUGAUGUAUAUCAGCAAUAAUUGUAUAAGAUUAACAGCUCAAGGCAACAUGGUUCCGUUUCAACCUGAUUCAUUGUACAUUGCCAAUAAAAUUUUGAAAAUCCCAGUUUGGGUGGACAUUUAUUUCUUCGUCUUGGACAGAAAUAAAUCGCAACUGUUGUUUGUAUA
Molecule: long non-coding RNA, 699 nt
Organism: Daphnia magna
Lineage: Eukaryota; Metazoa; Arthropoda; Branchiopoda; Diplostraca; Daphniidae
Exons: 2
Source: RefSeq, a predicted model, not a curated record